UACGUAGGGGGCAAGCGUUGUCCGGAUUUAUUGGGCGUAAAGAGCGUGUAGGCGGCCAGGUAGGUCUGCUGUGAAAACUCGAGGCUUAACCUCGAGCUGUCGGCGGAAACCAUCUGGCUAGAGUCCGGAAGAGGAGAAUGGAAUUCCCGGUGUAGCGGUGAAAUGCGCAGAUAUCGGGAAGAACACCAACGGCGAAAGCACUCUGCUGGGCCGACACUGACACUGAGAGACGAAAGCUAGGGGAGCGAAUGGG
Molecule: ribosomal RNA, 253 nt
Filed under: uncultured bacterium
Lineage: Bacteria
Description: partial 16S ribosomal RNA
Rfam family: Bacterial small subunit ribosomal RNA
Source: RNAcentral